AUGAAAAACUCUACCCACCACCUCUUAAGUAAGUUAUCUUUGCCACGCCCAGAUUUGGCUGAGGAGGAGAGGGGCAGCGUGGGGGCGAUGAUGCGGCAGACGCUGGGGUCCCGGCCGCCGAGCUGCGAGGGGCAGUGCCGGUGGGCGUGCGGCGGCCGCCGGUGCGAGGCCGUGCAGGUGCCCGUCACUCCGCGCGACCUGGAGCAGCAGCUGAAGAAGAGGAAGGAGAAGAGGAGAUCGCCGGCAGCAGGGCCAGGAGGGGGCGCGCUGCUGCCGUCGUCGUACGACGAGCACUCCAACUACAAGCCGCUCGGCUGGAGAUGCAAGUGCCUCCACUCCUAG
Molecule: ribosomal RNA, 342 nt
Filed under: Triticum aestivum (bread wheat)
Lineage: Eukaryota; Viridiplantae; Streptophyta; Magnoliopsida; Poales; Poaceae
Description: partial small subunit ribosomal RNA
Source: RNAcentral